RNAcentral lists this ribosomal RNA (497 nucleotides) under uncultured bacterium. Its description in RNAcentral is "partial 16S ribosomal RNA". It matches the Rfam family "Bacterial small subunit ribosomal RNA", at positions 28 to 507 of the family's 1533-position model. The record is from RNAcentral.
GAUGAACGCUGGCGGCGUGCCUAAUACAUGCAAGUCGAGCGAACAGACGAGGAGCUUGCUCCUCUGACGUUAGCGGCGGACGGGUGAGUAACACGUGGAUAACCUACCUAUAAGACUGGGAUAACUUCGGGAAACCGGAGCUAAUACCGGAUAAUAUAUUGAACCGCAUGGUUCAUUAGUGAAAGACGGUUUUGCUGGCACUUAUAGAUGGUUCCCGGCCUCAUUGGCUAGUUGGUACGGUAAAGGCUUCCCAAGGGAAGGAUGCGUGGCCGACUUGAGGGGCUGAGAGGCCACACUGGAACUGAGACAAGGUCCAGACUCCUACGGGAGGCAGCAGUAGGGAAUCUUCCGCAAUGGGCGAAAGCCUGACGGAGCAACGCCGCGUGAGUGAUGAAGGUCUUCGGAUCGUAAAACUCUGUUAUUAGGGAAGAACAAAUGUGUAAGUAACUAUGCACGUCUUGACGGUAACUAAUCAGAAAGCCACGGCUAACUACGUG